UACGGAGGAGGCAAGCGUUAUCCGGAAUUAUUGGGCGUAAAGCGUCCGCAGGUGGCUAUUCAAGUCUGCGGUCAAAGCCUGGGGCUUAACCCUGGAAAGGCCGUGGAAACUGAAGAGCUAGAGUGCAGUAGGGGUAGAGGGAAUUCCCGGUGUAGCGGUGAAAUGCGUAGAGCUCGGGAAGAACAUCGGUGGCGAAAGCGCUCUACUGGACCGCAACUGACACUCAGGGACGAAAGCUAGGGGAGCGAAUGGG
RNAcentral lists this ribosomal RNA (253 nucleotides) under uncultured bacterium. RNAcentral's name for it is "partial 16S ribosomal RNA". It matches the Rfam family "Bacterial small subunit ribosomal RNA", at positions 524 to 776 of the family's 1533-position model. The record is from RNAcentral.